CCCAGCCUGGAGGGAAAAGCCUCCCCAUCUUCUCCCUCCCAGUCUCCCCCCCCCACCAGGAGAGCACCCAAAGGCCCCGUUGAAGCGGACCCAACUCUACUCUUGAAGCCACAGUUUCUCCAUCAGAGGGGACCUACUUCUGAUUUUUAAGCACCAGUCCUUCCAUUCAAGGGGACCCCCAACUCUGAUCAAUAAGCUGGCCCCUCCAUUAGAAAAGACCCAACUGAAUGUGAGGCAACUGCCUCUCCACCAGAAGGGACCCUAAACUCUGACUUCCAAAUGGUAGCCUCACUAUGCCAGGGAACCCUAGCUCUGAUCUCUGAGUGCCAGCCAGUCUUUCCACCCAAGAGGAUGCCAACUCUGAUCUCUGAGUAAUAACCCCUUCUUCACUCACUCAGACUCAAGCUAUUUUCUGUGUCUUUAGGGAAUAUAGCUCUCCCAAAGCAGUUCACUUGCCCACAACUGAGAUUUGGGAGACCAAUACUCUCUCCCCCCUCAUGCAUCUAUUUCUAAACCUGCAUCCCUAAGGAGGGAUCCCUCAAAGUUUGGGAAAAGGUCAUGACCCCCUUCCCACCAAACACACAUCCACAUUUGCCUCAUCUCUGGUUCAACCCCCACCUCAUCUAGUCCAGGAGCCAGAAUCAGAGGCUCAGCACUAGCAGGCCUCCCCUCAACCUGGUCAGAGCAAAUGCUUCCUCCCCAUUGCUCCCAUUGACCCCCAGCGCCCGCCACUCUAAGACUGGGGAUGGUCUCUCCUUAACCAUAAUUCCUCUUGAUGCCGCUCUCUCAGUGAAGAUGGAGGAUGGCUGUCCAUUCCCAAGGGAGAGCGGGUGAAAAGGAAGGAAAAGUAUUCUUGCUCGUUAAAAUACAGUAACAUCGCCGCUGGAGGGUCCUGCUGCACCCAAGGAGCUCUGUGGGACUUUGGGAGAGAGCAGGAGCUCCACUCCUUGGCCAGGCCCACCUGCUCCUGUGACACACCUGGAUGGGGAGAGGAAGUGGGGAGGGGCGCCCGAGAGCUGCGCGGACCCAGCACUAAGAAUAGGCCUCCGUCUCCUCGCUCAGCCUCCAGGACACAAGUCCGGGAUCAGGAAGCCAGCUGAGGGCAGCAGGAGAUGAGAUCUGAGGAACCCUGAGGCUGGGGAGCCCGGGGUCACAGAGGUGGCUCCGUGCAGGUGGUACAGUGUUUUUCUGUCUGUGCCUGUGCUUGCAUCCAUAACAUCCUAAGUGUCUGGGUCCCCCUGACAACGUCGAGCUAUGUGUUU
This 1262-nucleotide long non-coding RNA is filed under the name Phascolarctos cinereus (koala). Its description in RNAcentral is "lncRNA (ENSPCIG00000035919.1)". The record is from RNAcentral. Lineage: Eukaryota; Metazoa; Chordata; Mammalia; Diprotodontia; Phascolarctidae.